RNAcentral lists this long non-coding RNA (8454 nucleotides) under Sus scrofa (pig). Its description in RNAcentral is "lncRNA (ENSSSCG00060010576.1)". Lineage: Eukaryota; Metazoa; Chordata; Mammalia; Artiodactyla; Suidae. The record is from RNAcentral.
UCUAUUAUACACAGAAUUUAUGGUAGCAGCGGGGGAAAGGGGCAGGUAUCUUGGGUCCUUCUCACAUUUUCCUUGAAGAUGGAGACUCUGGGAAACCGGAACACCGCACAACUUGAGAACAGAAGAACCGAGGCUGCCACUAAUUGAGCCCCCAUGCGGUUCCAGGCAUGGGGUGACACUCAAGGCACAUGCUAUUCAUUAAAUAAUCAUCCUAAUGAGCUCACAAGUACCACGCGCUAACUAUGCAACAGGUAUCUUUACAACCACCUUAUGAGCCAGGAGGCCCACCCAUGGCUUGUGGGGCCACAGCUUACACAACUUGGGGGAUGCACUUUAUAAAAACGCAUAUCAAAUUACGAAUAAAAAUGAGAUAGGAGGUCCUGGAAGGGCUCCUGCGAGGGGGGGUGCCCUGAGGCUCACAAUUGGUCAGUCUUGGUCUGAUGGUACAAGUGACUGUCAACAGCAUCUGCUUUGAAAGACAAGGAAACUGAAACUCUGGGAAGUUGCGAAAACAGCCCCAGGCCCUCUCCGAAGCCAGUGACCGAGCCAGGUGGCGUCCAGGCCCUGGUGCCAUCCUCAGCGUGGAAAAGAAUGUCCUCAUUGUUUCAGAACCUUGACCGUCUUUUGGUAGAUCUGUAAACCUCGAGGACUGUUUAUCAUUCAUCAUUUUUCAAAGAGAAAUGGGGACAGACAUGACUGGCCUCUUUUGAGGUUAACUGGUUUCAAAUCCUGCUCUCCAGUGACACUAUAUUCAGUGGAAAUGGGAAAAAAAGGAUGCGGGGACCACCCCCCGCGGACACCCCUGCCCCCCAAGGACAGAAGUGGUCCCGUUCCCCCAGGAACUCUCUAUGCUGGGAGAUAAAGUCCCCUGAGUGUCUGGCUGCCCUUGUGAAAAGAAGGCCAGCUUCAAGGUGGUUGUCACACUCACUGUCUCUGCCCAGGAAGCCACCCAGGAAGGCAACAGACAAGACCCCAAGUCGGGGGUGACCCUCCCGCCACACACGGGUCUGUUCUCUGCCCUCGAAACACAUGGGGAGACCCCAUCUGGCAUCAAACCUUCACACUGCUCUCAAAACAAGGUCGUUUUCUCCCUGGAGCUUUUUAAAGAUAAAACUCUCUAACACUUCCUGCAAAUUUAUCAUCUCCUUUUCCUGAAAGGAGAUAACGGUGGAGCAGUGAGAAAGACGAUUGCCUGGGAGGGAAGAUAUGGUCCGUUUUGGCUCAUUCUCUGGUUCCACUGCCUGUGAAAACUGUGACACCUUAGCUGGGUCAUUUAACAGCGGGCUCUAAGGUUCCUUGUCUGAACACUUAGGUGAGGAGACUAUUAAUUACCCAGAGCGGGGAACUGAAGACAAUGCACUUGUAUUAUAUGUGUUACUGGGGAGUGGAAAAAUAAAUGGCAAGGGUGAGAGUCAGCUGAUGGAAGACAAGACAGCACUUCAAAUGAAUGAACUAGCACAUGUACACAGAUCCAAAAAAUUCAUGAUAAGGAGUUCCUGUUGUGGAGCAGCAGAAACAAAUCCAACUAGGAACCAUGGGGUUGUGGGUUCGAUCCCUGGCCUUGCACAGUGGGUUAAGGAUCCAGUGUUGCCGUGGGCUGUGGUGUAGGUCACAGACACGGCUCAGAUCCCGUGUUGCUGUGGCUCUGGCAUAGGCUGAUUAAACUCCUAGUGUGCCCUAAAAAAAUAAGAUAAAAUUUUUAAAAAUCAAGCACAAAUUGGUACAACCACUAUGGAAAACAGUAUGGAGGUACCUCAGAAAACUAUACAUAGAACUACCAUAUGACCCAGCAAUCCCACUCUUGGGCAUAUGUCUGGAUAAAACUCUCCUUGAAAUAGACACAUGUACCUGCAUGUUCACAGCAGCACUAUUCACAAAAGCCAAGACAUGGAAACAAUCUAAAUGUCCAUUGACAGAUGAAUGGAUUAAGAAGAUGUGGUGUAUAUAUACACAAUGGAAUACUACUCAGCCAUAAAAAGAAAAAAUAAUGCCAUUUGCAGCAACAUGGAUGGAACUAGAGACUCUCAUACUAAGUGAAAUAAGUCAGAAAGAGAAAGACAAAUACCAUAUGAUAUCACUUACAUCUGGAAUCUAAUUAUGGCACAGAAAAGAAUCUCAUGGACUUGAACAGACUUGUGGUUGCCAAGGAGGAAGGGGAAGGAGGGGGAUGGACUGGGUGUUUGGGGUUAACAGAUGCAAACUAUUGCCUUUGGAAUGGAUGAGCAAUGAGAUCCUGCUGUAUAGCACUGGGAACUCUAUCUAGUCACUUGUGAUGGAACAUGAUGGAGAAUAAUGUGAGAAAAAGAAUGUAUACCUAUAUGUGUGACUGGAUCACCUCACUGUAGAGCAGAAAACUGACAGAACACUGGAAACCAUCUAUAAUGGAAAAACUAAAAAUCAUUUAAAACAAAAAAAAUCAAGCUCAGGCCAACCACUUCCAAAAUAAGGCUGAUGGCUGCUUCUGAAGGCGGAAGGCCGGAGGAGGCAAAUAAAGGGGAUGCCCACUUGAUCUGUAACCUUGUCUUCCUUAUAAAUGGAAGAGACCAGAAGCAAAUAAAAAAAUGUUAAUACUUAUUAAUUCCCAGACGGACUAUGCUGGAAUCUGUUACAGUUUCCCUUAUAGUUUUACAACUGCUGUUGUUUCAAAAUAAAAUGGAAAAAAAAAAAGUGUCACGGAGAAGUUACAAGGAUUCAUUCAUUCACACAAUCGUGUGUUCGACAAAGAUUUAACAUCAACAAAUACUGGAGACAUUCUGGGCAUCAUCAAGACCCUGGGGGAAGGACAGUGAACAAAACAGCCCUGCUGCCUGUCUGCACAAGGUUCAGCACCUGCAGGCAAGGACCGGGGCUUGUGGAAACCGUGAGUCAAUGUGACGUUCCUGCCCGCAGUUCAGCUUAGGGAGGAGCAGGCUGCUGGGAGGAGGCGCUGGGCAAGGCGGGGUGUUAACUGCAGCUCCGCCACCCACCCCCAGGUGCCCAAGGAAGGCGGACUCACAGGCACAUUAGGAAAAUGAAGGAGCCGUCGCAGGUAGAACAUGUGACCCAACCCUACCUCCAAGAAGACACCCCACAAUGCUCGGUGGUCCCUUCACCUUGUCCCUGGGAAGAACCUACGGCUUUAAAUCCUAGCUCAGGAAUAUUGGGUGUGUAUCUGAAAUCAUCACGUCUAACAGCUGGAAUCAGGUCCAACGUCACGGCCCGUUCAGCCACAGUAACAGGAGACUGAUUUUUAAGAACUGAAGAGGAGAUUAACCUUUGGCUGGGAAGGGAACCAGGCUGGUGACAGGGGUCUCCAAACCAUGCCAUAUAGGGGCUGGGGGGAGGAGAGCCACAAAACUAAAGAGGGAGAAACCCCAACCAGCAAGACCUGGAGCUGACUUUGAAGGCAUGGCAUGUGGAAGAGGCAUGCGAUUUAUUCUAGAGAACUUAGAAUGACUAGAAGCAAGGCUACUUUGGUUCAGCACAAGGAUGACAACUAUAAUGAUCCCAGUGCCCAGGAGAAUAAAAGGCCUCUGCAAGGAGGUGGGAGUGAGCCUCCCAUCACUGAGGCCAUCCAAGGAGAUGAUGGAUGACUACUUUCCAGAGAAGCUGCAGGGGGAACUCAAGCACUAUCUGGGCUGUGAUUUUUUUAGAGGCCCUGAGUGUAGAGAGUUUAUGACUCUAACUUUAGGUUUUUGGAGACGAUACAACAGCCGCACAGGUGCGCUGCCUCUGCCCCACCAGUAACUGCCUCCUAAUCCCUUAAUAGUACCUUCCACCUUCAGCAACACCUUUACAAGAUUUUCCAAGUUCUCUCCUGUUCAUUUUCAUGCUUUGCCUCGAGACAGUGAAGAAAAUGGGGAGCCAUUCCUGGUAGAACACUGAGCCCAGCCCUGCCUCCAAGAAGACGCCCGACAAAUGGCUGGUGGUCCCACUAAGAAGAGGUGAUGGGAGAAAAGACCCUUGCCUGGGCACACGAGGACCCACCCUCCACAGGCCCAAAGCCCUGGAACCCUCCAGCCGGCUCCUUCCCCAGGCAGAGACCAGAGGGUGGAGGUCACCUCAAAAGGCUAGGUGUGCAGAGCCACCCCCAGGAGCCCAGAGCAGGGGGAUGGUGUGGAGGGUGCCUCCCCACCACUAUGAUCUCAUCUGGAUGGAGACAGGCAGCUGCCCUCUCCCUCCACCACCCAUGACCCUCUGCAGUCAGAUCCAGAACAGGCCCUCGCUCCCCAGCCUGCUGAGGUCAGAACAGCAGGCAACCUCAGGCCACCUCUAGGUCACCAAACUGAAGGCCAGCUGGAGACUUGGGAAUCUGAGAAACAUGACCGUUCUUGUCUAUUCCCCUCAGACACUGAUCCCAGGUGAGUCACUGCACCAGCAGAAGAAGUGAGUGGUGAACAGCAGAGAUCCUUACCGUCCCCAGAAGUUCUUUAGAAAAUGAUCAGGAGUCCACACAUGUACCAUUCACUCUGGCUGCAUAACAAACCAGCUCUGACAGGCAGCUCAAAACACCACCCACCAUUUAUUCUCAUCUCUCCUGGUUCUGGGGUGACUGGGGUCUCCUGUGGCUGCAGUCUGAUGGUGGCCGGGCUCAUCUAGAGGAUGCCUCCCCUCAUGAGUCUGGUUGCCACUGCUGGCCAUCCACAGUCAGCAAGGACGUUGGCUGGGCCAUCAGCGAAGCACCUGCACGCAGCCUCCAUGACGCUUGAGCUUCCUCCCACCCUGGCAGCCGGGUUCCAAGAGCAACCAUAGAAGCUGGUGGAAACCGUAUUGCCUGUGAUGACUCAGCUUUGGAAAGCACACAACUUCUGCUACAGUCCAUCCACUAGAAGUGGAUCAUGAAAGUCAGCCAAAUCCAAGAGGAGGAGAAUGAGAGUCCCUUUCAUGUCAAGAGAAAUGAUCAGAGCACUCGUGGGCAUGUUUCAAAACACCAUAAGGUAUAAUCCUUCCUUGGGGGCUACAGUAUUGUUUUAGCUUUCAAGGGGCCCAGAUGCCUCAAAUUCCAGGUGGGAAUUACCUCCCAUCGUGCCAGGCUCUGGGCAAAAGAACAUCACCCAGCUGGAUAUAUUUUUUUGGACGCCUUUAGAAGUCCCACUUUUGGGAGGGCUCUAGAAACAUGAAAGCAUGCAGGACCUAACUACCAGGGCUACAAGGUUCCCUGCUUUAAACAUAUCCAGUCACUUUGAAAGAUAAUUGGGUGCAAAAUACGGAUUCCAUCUCACACCAGAGAGAGCCCAGUGAGGAGGGUGGGAAAUGGUCACCGAGGGAUGGAUACACUGGCUUUUGACCCUGGAGCUGGAAAAGUCAGGGACUGCCCUUAAAAUAACACGGAUGCCGGACAGUAAAGGAGAGUCCGCAUGUCUGCAGUACCAGCACGUUUCCCAGUUUCUGUUCAGCGUUCCCAUUCAGUCUUGCCUCUGACUCGACAUGAGUAUCAGACCUCAGGCCCCAGCAAAUCUUCUAGAAAGAAACUUUCACUUUUCAGCUGCUUGCAAAAGGAACAGACCUGCCUGGUGCACAAAGGCUCUGUUUUCUUGCCGAAGGACGUAAGGCAGGAUUUUCUGGGUUUCCCCUCUUCUCAAUGUUGACAUGCGCUGAGCUCCCCUGGGGUCCCCAAAGGCCAACACAGGCCCAAAGGUGGUCAGGUGAAUGAGGAGGGGAGGGGUGUCUGCCGGUUUUCACAAGCACCCUCUGCUCUCGGCCUGGCCUGAAGGGCUCCUCUGCCGGGUCCACCGAAGCUGCUGCUUGUGGCAGGAGAACCUGGCAAGACGUCGGCGCUUGUCCAAACACACACUGGGAUACAGCGACAAUGAACGGGGGGAUCCGCCUAGCUAGACAAACCCACGCACACACCGAGAACCGAGAGCCGAUACGUGCUUUUCCUGGGUUAGGACAAGCUGGCCAACCUCUUCAACAACAUGCAAGCACGUCCCUGGAAAAGGGGGAGUGGGUGUUUUGCAAUGGCUGCUGUGGCCCUGCUCACCCUCCCUCUCCUUGAGUCUUGGGUGCUCACAGGCCCAUCUUCCAAUGGCCAGCACCUGCCCUCCUUCACCUAGGUGCUGCCUCUACUCACAGGCACUGCUCUGCUGUGCAAGGGACAGGCCAGGAUGGACCAGGGCAUUGCCGCCCCCCGCUGUGCGCCCCGGCAGCAGCCCUCACCUGGUGACCAAUGGGAGCUGGUGUGUCUUCCAUGCCCAGGCAGGAAGACGCCGAGGUGUCCUCUACACUCCAUUCCAGGUCAUUAUCCCCGCUGCCCGCAGGGGUAACUGGCCGGGCACUGGCCACCUUGCCCACCUCCCUGUCUCUCUUCCCCACUUCCAGCUCUCAGGUGUUAACUGGGCCCAAAUAAGCCACAUGCGCCCAAACUCUCAUCUUGCCCUCUGCCUCUAAAGGAACCAAAACUGAGUCAAGGUAGCUGACGGUUACAGGAAGAAAUUAAUGAUGGCCAGGAGCGUGCCAGCAUCAUGUUGUGUCUGUGCAUCUCAGAAGACCCGCUCCAUGUCAGCCUGUGUGUCAGGAAGUAACAAGUAAACAAGGAACACAAAGAAACAAAUGAGGAGUUCCUUUCGUGGCUCCACAGUUAACGAAUCCGACUAGGAACCAUGAGGUUGUGGGUUCGCUCCCUGGCCUCACUUAGUGGGUUAAAGAUCCAGCAUUGCUGUGAGCUAUGGUAUAGGUCACAGACGUGGCUUGGAUCCUGCGCUGCUGUGGCUGUGGUGUAGGCUGACAGCUGUAGUUCCGAUUCCACCCCUAGUCUGGGAACAUCCAUAUGCUGUGGGGGCGGCCCUAAAAAGCAAGAAAAAAAAAAAUGAAGAUUGGUGCCAAUAAAGGAUUCUGCUGGGACUGAGCUGGUCUGGGAAAACGAGGCUCUUACCCUUUCCAAAGACCCCAACACACACACACACACACAGUUCCCAUUUUAGCGCGAGGCUGGUCCCCUUCCCCACCCGAACAUCUAGUUCCCAGGGCACUUUGACAAGAUCACCUUUCUUCAAGUGGCAUCUUUAAAAAGGAUACAAACGAACUUAUUUGCAGAACAGAAGCAGACUCCCAGCCUUUGAAAAACUUAUGGUUACCAAAGGGGACAGGUGGUGAGGGGUGCACUGGGGGGGUGGGGAUUGUCACAUGCACACCAUCGUAUACGGGAUGAUUGGCCAACGGGCACCUGCUGUAGAGCCCAGGGGACUCGACCCAGUAUUCUGCAGGAAAAGAAUCUGAACAAAAAUGAAUGUGGGGACACGUAGAACCAAAUCACUUUGCGGCACAGCAGAGAGAAUGAUCACCACACUGUACAUCAACUGGACAUUGAUAAAACUUUAAAAACCGAAGAAGAAGAAAAAAAAGAAAAAAGAAUGCCUGUCUCUCUCUGAUGCUAUUUGUGACAAGGAGUGUGUCCAGCUCCAAAGGGGAAGAACGUCACACGGGCCCCUGGAAGCAACUUCCACUGCAGAACACGUGUGGCUGUUGACGCCAUAAAUCAGACAGUUUUUGGUACCCGCAUGGCUCUCUUCUCCCUUCCCCUGCCCUCUCCUUCCCUUCGCACCACCUCAAGGUUGCGGAGUCCAGCUCAUGGUUCCACUCUGGAGGGAUGUGGGAGGGGACCUUUCCAAAACUAACCUUCCCUGGCCAACCAAAGCUCUUAAUAAUCUGCCAGACAUCACAAAGAUCUCUUUGAAAGCUGACCUAAAGGAUGUAGCUAAGAAAAGGGACCAAAAUCUAUAAGGCACUUCCUGGAGAGAAAUACACCCAACCUACCAACAUUUAUGUGAGAAGUUUGUCUUAUGUGUAUGUUAUGUGUAUAGAUGUCUGCCUACAUGGGUGGGUGGGUGUGUGUAUGUGUGUGUCUGUACAGUCAAGGAUGUAUUUACACAGAAAAACAUGAGUGAAUCUCAAAAAUAGCAUGCCGCUCGCUGAAGGAGGCUUAUGUCAAAGAGCAAAGAGUGUAUGGAAAGUUCCACAACAAGCCCAAGCUAAUCUACGGUGAUGAAAUCAGAAGAGUGGUUGUGCAGGGGUGGGCUGGGCUGAGGAUUUCCUGAAAGGUGGACAUGAGGAAACUUCCUGGAAUGACGGUAUGUUCUCUAUCUUGAUGGAAUUGGGGCCCUAGAGACAUAUAUAGGAACCCACUGAAAGUACACUUAGGGCUUAGAAACAUCCCUGUGUCUAAGUGUUAGCCCAAAAGAGGGGUAAAUAAAUCCUACACUCUAGUUAAUGAUACGCAGGUGAAACUAUGAGAGAUGGAGUGUAUUUCUCUCUGCAAAUUACUUGGAAAUCCACUGAAGAAAACAGGGUGGAUCGAUGGAUGGAUACUGGCAGAGGUGGAGAUAGGAACAAACUUAUGCUAAAACCAGUACAGUGAAAUGCAAAUUACAGAACAUAGGUGCCGAGGCCGUGGGUGUUCACUGUACAAUUCUUUCCAUUUUUUUUGUUAUGUUUGCAAAUUUUCAUAAUAAAAUGCUGGAGCGGGAGAAGAAAAAA